UCAGAGAGACUAGGACAGUUACUGCA
RNAcentral lists this non-coding RNA (26 nucleotides) under Homo sapiens (human). The record is from RNAcentral. Lineage: Eukaryota; Metazoa; Chordata; Mammalia; Primates; Hominidae.